This 79-nucleotide transfer RNA is filed under the name Paenibacillus larvae. Its description in RNAcentral is "tRNA-Ile". It matches the Rfam family "tRNA". Rfam says of the family: Transfer RNA (tRNA) molecules are approximately 80 nucleotides in length. Their secondary structure includes four short double-helical elements and three loops (D, anti-codon, and T loops). Further hydrogen bonds mediate the characteristic L-shaped molecular structure. tRNAs have two regions of fundamental functional importance: the anti-codon, which is responsible for specific mRNA codon recognition, and the 3' end, to which the tRNAs corresponding amino acid is attached (by aminoacyl-tRNA synthetases). tRNAs cope with the degeneracy of the genetic code in two manners: having more than one tRNA (with a specific anti-codon) for a particular amino acid; and 'wobble' base-pairing, i.e. permitting non-standard base-pairing at the 3rd anti-codon position. Lineage: Bacteria; Bacillati; Bacillota; Bacilli; Caryophanales; Paenibacillaceae. The record is from RNAcentral.
GGGCCCUUAGCUCAGUUGGUUAGAGCGCACCCCUGAUAAGGGUGAGGUCGGUGGUUCGGAGAUCCACUAGGGCCCACCA